This 749-nucleotide long non-coding RNA is filed under the name Medicago truncatula (barrel medic). Its description in RNAcentral is "long non-coding RNA (MTRU_LNC005583)". Lineage: Eukaryota; Viridiplantae; Streptophyta; Magnoliopsida; Fabales; Fabaceae. The record is from RNAcentral.
AGGCAGAAAAUUUGCAAGAGGCAAAAAUAAAGAAAACACAGUAAAGUAACAUCACUUGGUUGAGCACACUAUUCCUCCAGCAUUGGGUCAGAGUUCCUAAAAAGAAAUGGUGUGAACCUGCAAAGUGGCGUGAUUUUUCGGCUUUGCUUUGUUGAUAAUCUGGACCCUAGAGUCCAACAGGUUGUGCCAAGCUGGGCAUGCAAAAAUAUAACAGUGACUUGAUGAAAAAGGCACAUGUAAGAGGGGCAAAAAGGAUAGGCAAAUACAGAAAUGAACAGAAACUCGAUCAGGAAACAAGGAACACGAGACCAGUUUAACACCAGAUAGGAAGUAGCAUUUUAAAGUCACAUGCAUUCCCAGCAAUAAACAAGAGACAUGAUUCACAUUCUAACUCAUGUUCUAAAAUUACCAGAGUCAGAUGUUUAUGAACCUAUGGGAGUGGGACUAAAAUUAUAAAUAUAACUUGCCAUCAAACCAGAUAUUUUGACAUAUUUUUCAGACAGUGUUGUGUCAAACACUUCAGUGCAUUGCAGUUUUAUAAUGUAAAUAUAAUCAACUAAUAAUAUAGAAAAUGAUUCAGUGGGAUAUUGAUUCAUAUCAUCUGAUAUAGCAAAACUUGUCUCACCUAGAUCUUGUAUCUUUCAUUCUUUUGCAAUUGUAUUGAUGUGGACAUCGUUGUUGUAUCAUGCCAAGCUUGGAAAUACAUAAUAUGAAGGUUAAUAAACCUCAACUUUGAACAUUAGUCUCAC